RNAcentral lists this ribosomal RNA (403 nucleotides) under uncultured bacterium. Its description in RNAcentral is "bacterial SSU rRNA". It matches the Rfam family "Bacterial small subunit ribosomal RNA", at positions 30 to 435 of the family's 1533-position model. The record is from RNAcentral.
AUUGAACGCUGGCGGCAUGCCUUACACAUGCAAGUCGAACGGCAGCACGGGAGCAAUCCUGGUGGCGAGUGGCGAACGGGUGAGUAAUAUAUCGGAACGUGCCCAGUCGUGGGGAUAACGUAGCGAAAGCUACGCUAAUACCGCAUACGAUCUAUGGAUGAAAGCGGGGGAUCGCAAGACCUCGCGCGAUUGGAGCGGCCGAUAUCAGAUUAGGUAGUUGGUGAGGUAAAGGCUCACCAAGCCGACGAUCUGUAGCUGGUCUGAGAGGACGACCAGCCACACUGGGACUGAGACACGGCCCAGACUCCUACGGGAGGCAGCAGUGGGGAAUUUUUGGACAAUGGGCGCAAGCCUGAUCCAGCAAUGCCGCGUGCAGGAUGAAGGCCUCGGUUGGUUAACGUUA